Molecule: ribosomal RNA, 542 nt
Filed under: Escherichia coli
Lineage: Bacteria; Pseudomonadati; Pseudomonadota; Gammaproteobacteria; Enterobacterales; Enterobacteriaceae
Description: bacterial SSU rRNA
Rfam family: Bacterial small subunit ribosomal RNA
Source: RNAcentral
AAAUUGAAGAGUUUGAUCAUGGCUCAGAUUGAACGCUGGCGGCAGGCCUAACACAUGCAAGUCGAACGGUAACAGGAAACAGCUUGCUGUUUCGCUGACGAGUGGCGGACGGGUGAGUAAUGUCUGGGAAACUGCCUGAUGGAGGGGGAUAACUACUGGAAACGGUAGCUAAUACCGCAUAACGUCGCAAGACCAAAGAGGGGGACCUUCGGGCCUCUUGCCAUCAGAUGUGCCCAGAUGGGAUUAGCUAGUAGGUGGGGUAACGGCUCACCUAGGCGACGAUCCCUAGCUGGUCUGAGAGGAUGACCAGCCACACUGGAACUGAGACACGGUCCAGACUCCUACGGGAGGCAGCAGUGGGGAAUAUUGCACAAUGGGCGCAAGCCUGAUGCAGCCAUGCCGCGUGUAUGAAGAAGGCCUUCGGGUUGUAAAGUACUUUCAGCGGGGAGGAAGGGAGUAAAGUUAAUACCUUUGCUCAUUGACGUUACCCGCAGAAGAAGCACCGGCUAACUCCGUGCCAGCAGCCGCGGUAAUACGGAGGG